UCCCUGGUGGCUCAGAGGUUAAAGCAUCUGCCUGCAAUGCAGGAGACCCACGUUCAAUCCCUGGAUAGGGAA
Non-coding RNA from Capra hircus (goat), 72 nucleotides. The record is from the annotation of a RefSeq genome assembly. Lineage: Eukaryota; Metazoa; Chordata; Mammalia; Artiodactyla; Bovidae.